GAGUUGCGAACGGGUGAGUAACGCGUAGGUAACCUGCCUGGUAGCGGGGGAUAACUAUUGGAAACGAUAGCUAAUACCGCAUAAGAACAUUUACUGCAUGGUAGAUGUUUAAAAGGUGCAAAUGCAUCACUACCAGAUGGACCUGCGUUGUAUUAGCUAGUAGGUGAGGUAACGGCUCACCUAGGCGACGAUACAUAGCCGACCUGAGAGGGUGAUCGGCCACACUGGGACUGAGACACGGCCCAGACUCCUACGGGAGGCAGCAGUAGGGAAUCUUCGGCAAUGGGGGGAACCCUGACCGAGCAACGCCGCGUGAGUGAAGAAGGUUUUCGGAUCGUAAAGCUCUGUUGUUAAGGAAGAACGAGUGUGAGAAUGGAAAGUUCAUACUGUGACGGUACUUAACCAGAAAGGGACGGCUAACUACGUGCCAGCAGCCGCGGUAAUACGUAGGUCCCGAGCGUUGUCCGGAUUUAUUGGGCGUAAAGCGAGCGCAGGCGGUUAGAUAAGUCUGAAGUUAAAGGCAGUGGCUCAACCAUUGUAGGCUUUGGAAACUGUUUAACUUGAGUGCAGAAGGGGAGAGUGGAAUUCCAUGUGUAGCGGUGAAAUGCGUAGAUAUAUGGAGGAACACCGGUGGCGAAAGCGGCUCUCUGGUCUGUAACUGACGCUGAGGCUCGAAAGCGUGGGGAGCGAACAGGAUUAGAUACCCUGGUAGUCCACGCCGUAAACGAUGAGUGCUAGGUGUUAGGUCCUUUCCGGGACUUAGUGCCGCAGCUAACGCAUUAAGCACUCCGCCUGGGGAGUACGACCGCAAGGUUGAAACUCAAAGGAAUUGACGGGGGCCCGCACAAGCGGUGGAGCAUGUGGUUUAAUUCGAAGCAACGCGAAGAACCUUACCAGGUCUUGACAUCCCGAUGCCCGCUCUAGAGAUAGAGCUUUACUUCGGUACAUCGGUGACAGGUGGUGCAUGGUUGUCGUCAGCUCGUGUCGUGAGAUGUUGGGUUAAGUCCCGCAACGAGCGCAACCCUUAUUGUUAGUUGCCAUCAUUCAGUUGGGCACUCUAGCGAGACUGCCGGUAAUAAACCGGAGGAAGGUGGGGAUGACGUCAAAUCAUCAUGCCCCUUAUGACCUGGGCUACACACGUGCUACAAUGGCUGGUACAACGAGUCGCAAGCCGGUGACGGCAAGCUAAUCUCUGAAAGCCAGUCUCAGUUCGGAUUGUAGGCUGCAACUCGCCUACAUGAAGUCGGAAUC
Molecule: ribosomal RNA, 1251 nt
Filed under: Streptococcus intermedius
Lineage: Bacteria; Bacillati; Bacillota; Bacilli; Lactobacillales; Streptococcaceae
Description: bacterial SSU rRNA
Rfam family: Bacterial small subunit ribosomal RNA
Source: RNAcentral